Triticum aestivum (bread wheat) is the source of this 780-nucleotide long non-coding RNA. RefSeq lists it as uncharacterized. The record is from RefSeq and is a predicted model, not a curated record. NCBI's taxonomy places the organism in Eukaryota, Viridiplantae, Streptophyta, Magnoliopsida, Poales, Poaceae. The transcript is spliced from 2 exons.
UUAUAGAAUCAUUUUCAAGUUAUAUUAUAAUUUAUUAAUUCAAAAUAUUAAUAUUUGUAGGUAUCUAACAAUAAUAUGGGGAAAAAUAUUUAUGGCCAAAUAAUGUGGUGUGUUCGUUUGUUUUGAUUUAAAGUGAAAUAUAUUGUAAUAAAAUAAAUUUUAACUAAAUAGCUCCACAAUAAUGUAACUUAAUAGCAUUACAAGAUGUAUAUAUUAGAAGAUGCACAUCAAUAAAAAAUAACACAUGGGAAGAUAAGUAAGUUUUAUAUACUUAUGGACAAGAUAAUUUGGGAUGAAGUAAAAAUGUUUGGUAUAAAUAACAACUGUCGUACCAGUUUUAAGGCCUAAACUCGGGUACAUUGCCAAUUUUCUGCCAAGCAUCAUGGUUCAGCCUUCAUGGUUGUAUGCAUUUUUUGCCUGUCAUCAUUGUUCUAUAUAUGCAUCAUUAGAGAGAUUGUUGAUAUUGCUGUUUGAGGUAGAAAAGAAAUUAAGCGUGGCUGAGAGAGCACACUCCAAGAUUGAAGGUCAACUAACAGCUGCACUAGUUGGAUUCCAUCGUUAUGCUCCGCGUGUGAAUCUCAGGGGACCCAAUGGUCAUUAUCAGUCGGAUAAGAUCCCUGGGGAGGGUCUUUAUGCUCCGAUAUUCUAUAGUAAGCUUGUUAGGCUUAUCCGUAUGAGGCUUCGGAACUUUGACAAAAAAUCCUCAAAUUGACAGACGUUUCUUACUGAUUGGUGUUGAUGGCUCUUGAAAUUUAAUAUUUGAUGUUGAUUUGUCUUUCA